Molecule: non-coding RNA, 53 nt
Filed under: Gracilibacter sp.
Lineage: Bacteria; Bacillati; Bacillota; Clostridia; Eubacteriales; Gracilibacteraceae
Description: c-di-GMP sequence
Rfam family: c-di-GMP-I riboswitch aptamer
About the family: GEMM was predicted in a large-scale screen for bacterial structured RNA regulatory elements. Genes associated with GEMM are involved in a diverse array of functions, including chemotaxis regulation, signal transduction, secretion and chitin.
Source: RNAcentral
AGUUGAAAAAGGCAAACCUGACGAAAGGAGGGGACGCAAAGUCACGGGUCUAA